Molecule: ribosomal RNA, 413 nt
Filed under: uncultured bacterium
Lineage: Bacteria
Description: bacterial SSU rRNA
Rfam family: Bacterial small subunit ribosomal RNA
Source: RNAcentral
ACACUUGACAUCCCUUGCAUUACUCUUAAUCGAGGAAAUCCCUUCGGGGACAAGGUGACAGGUGGUGCAUGGUUGUCGUCAGCUCGUGUCGUGAGAUGUUGGGUUAAGUCCCGCAACGAGCGCAACCCUUGUCGUUAGUUACUACCAUUAAGUUGAGGACUCUAGCGAGACUGCCUGGGUUAACCAGGAGGAAGGUGGGGAUGACNUCAAAUCAUCAUGCCCCUUAUGUGUAGGGCUACACACGUGCUACAAUGGCUGGUACAGAGAGAUGCAAUACCGCGAGGUGGAGCCAAACUUAAAAACCAGUCUCAGUUCGGAUUGUAGGCUGAAACUCGCCUACAUGAAGCUGGAGUUACUAGUAAUCGCGAAUCAAAAUGUCGCGGUGAAUACGUUCCCGGGUCUUGUACACACCG